GGGAACACUCACUAACCAGGUCCUGCAUGCCCAAGUCAGCAGCAGUCUUCUCCAGGGUGCCAGACUUCCCUGCCCUUUCAUAUACAUAAAUCUGGUUAAAAGAGGAAAUAAAUGCUCCAUCUCAGAUACCACUGUGUGAUAGCUGUUGGCAUGUAUUCACCAAUGGAGAGCUGAAUGUCAGCCGCA
This is a long non-coding RNA of Cyanistes caeruleus (blue tit), 186 nucleotides long. RefSeq lists it as uncharacterized. The record is from RefSeq and is a predicted model, not a curated record. Lineage: Eukaryota; Metazoa; Chordata; Aves; Passeriformes; Paridae.